This 468-nucleotide ribosomal RNA is filed under the name uncultured bacterium. RNAcentral's name for it is "bacterial SSU rRNA". It matches the Rfam family "Bacterial small subunit ribosomal RNA", at positions 29 to 506 of the family's 1533-position model. The record is from RNAcentral.
ACGAACGCUGGCGGCGUGCUUAACACAUGCAAGUCGAACGGUGACCCUCGGAGCUUGCUCUGGGGUGAUCAGUGGCGAACGGGUGAGUAACACGUGAGUAACCUGCCCCUGACUCUGGGAUAACUUCGGGAAACCGUAGCUAAUACCGGAUAUGACGCGGAGACGCAUGUCUACCGUGUGGAAAGUUUUUCGGUCUGGGAUGGACUCGCGGCCUAUCAGCUUGUUGGUGAGGUAAUGGCUCACCAAGGCGACGACGGGUAGCCGGCCUGAGAGGGCGAUCGGCCACACUGGGACUGAGACACGGCCCAGACUCCUACGGGAGGCAGCAGUGGGGAAUAUUGCACAAUGGGCGCAAGCCUGAUGCAGCGACGCCGCGUGAGGGAUGACGGCCUUUGGGUUGUAAACCUCUUUCAGCAGGGAAGAAGCGCAAGUGACGGUACCUGCAGAAGAAGCACCGGCUAACUACGU